This 425-nucleotide ribosomal RNA is filed under the name uncultured bacterium. RNAcentral's name for it is "partial 16S ribosomal RNA". It matches the Rfam family "Bacterial small subunit ribosomal RNA", at positions 354 to 796 of the family's 1533-position model. The record is from RNAcentral.
GUUAGGAAUAUUGGACAAUGGGCGAAAGCCUGAUCCAGCCAUGCCGCGUGAACGAUGAAGGCCUUCGGGUUGUAAAGUUCUUUAGCCGAUGAUUAUAAUGACUGUAGUCGGAAAAUAAGCCCCGGCUAACUUCGUGCCAGCAGCCGCGGUAAUACGAAGGGGGCGAGCGUUAUUCGGAAUCACUGGGCGUAAAGCGUGCGUAGGCGGUUUUGUAAGUUAGGAGUGAAAGCCCAGGGCUCAACCUUGGAAUUGCUCUUAAAACUGCAAGGCUCGAGUCUCGGAGAGGAUAGCGGAAUUUCCAGUGUAGCAGUGAAAUGCGUAGAUAUUGGAAGGAACACCAGUGGCGUAAGCGGCUAUCUGGACGAGUAUUGACGCUGAGGCACGAAAGCGUGGGGAUCAAACAGGAUUAGAAACCCUAGUAGUCC